This 442-nucleotide ribosomal RNA is filed under the name uncultured bacterium. RNAcentral's name for it is "partial 16S ribosomal RNA". It matches the Rfam family "Bacterial small subunit ribosomal RNA", at positions 338 to 795 of the family's 1533-position model. The record is from RNAcentral.
CCUACGGGUGGCAGCAGUAGGGAAUAUUUGACAAUGGGCGCAAGCCUGACCCAGCAACGCCGCGUGAAGGAAGAAGGCUUUCGGGUUGUAAACUUCUUUUGUCAGGGAAGAGUAGAAGACGGUACCUGACGAAUAAGCCACGGCUAACUACGUGCGAGCAGCCGCGGUAAUACGUAGGUGGCAAGCUUUGUCCAGAUUUACUGGGUGUAGAGGGCGGGUAGCCGGGUUGACAAGUCAGAUGUGAAAUCCUGCGGCUUAACCGCAGAACUGCAUUUGAAACUGUUGAUCUUGAGUACUGGAGAGGCAGCCGGAAUUCCUAGUGUAGCGGUGAAAUGCGUAGAUAUUAGGAGGAACACCAGUGGCGAAGGCGGUCUGCUGGACAGCAACUGACGGUGAGGCGCGAAAGCGUGGGGAGCAAACAGGAUUAGAUACCCUGGUAGUC